RNAcentral lists this ribosomal RNA (505 nucleotides) under uncultured bacterium. RNAcentral describes it as "partial 16S ribosomal RNA". It matches the Rfam family "Bacterial small subunit ribosomal RNA", at positions 28 to 507 of the family's 1533-position model. The record is from RNAcentral.
GACGAACGCUGGCGGCGUGCCUAAUACAUGCAAGUAGAACGCACAGUCCAUACUUUCGUUUGCUACACCAUUGACUGUGAGUUGCGAACGGGUGAGUAACCCGUAGCUAACCUUUCGGGUAGCGUGGGGUAACUAUUGGUAACGCUAGAUAACACCCCAUCAUAUUAAGUAUUGCUUGGAAAUUCACUGAAAGUUGCAAUUGCACCGCUACUAGGUGGAUCUGUGGUGGAUUAGCUAGUUGGUCAGGUAGAGGCGCAUCUAGGCGACGAUACAGGGCCGACCUGAGAGGAGGAGCAGCCACGCUGGGACUGAGACCCGACCCAGACUCCUACGGGAGGCAGCAAGAGGGAAUCUUCGGCAAUGGGGGAGAGUCUGACCAAGCAACGCCGCAGGAGUGGAGAAAGUCGUCGGGUCGGGAAGGUCUGUUGUAAGGGAAGAACGGGUGGGAGGGUGGAACGUUGACACUGUGACGGUAUCGUACAAGAAAGCACCGGCUAACUACGUG